ACAAUGAUAAAAACAACAUCAACCCCCAAAACCCUAGCCACCCCUUUCACUUACCGAUUUACCCUCUUUGUACAACCAUCUAUGGUAAAAAAAUCAGAUUCUUUCAUUAUCUUCAGACUAUGCUCACCAUUUGGGCAAACUAUUAACUCUCAUUUUUUAAUAAUAGAGGCAACGUCUAUUUCUCCAUAUCUCUCCACUAUUUUUUUAGUACAAAGAUCAUUAAUAGUCUUUGUCUCACCGUGAAUUCCAGAAUUUAGAUUUAAAAUUCAUUCUUUCAAAUUCGAAACCCUAUUUUUUCCUCCCAAAUUUCUCUCAUAAAUGGACAUUGAGGGAUAGAGGUUGAAAAGAGAGAAUUCUUUGUGGAAAAGUUAGGGAUUUGGGAGGAGCAUUCCUCUAAUCCUACCUAAUCAAAGAAUUCGAGAAGAAACGCACUUGAAAAUUUAAUUCCGAAAAAAAAAGGUAAAGCACCGAUGAUCCGGGAUUGAAAUUUCGAUGGAAUUUUGUUCAUUUAAAGCUCGUUCGUUUCAGUUCCUUCCCGAGAAAAAAAAUAUAUGGGAUUUGUAGAUUAAAGAUGGUUGGUAUAUGCCAAUAUAUGGUGCAUAACAACAUCAGAAGCAAGUAUACGGGUCGUUAUACACUGAUAUACAACAACAACAACAAACCCAGUAUAUUCCCACCUAGUGGGGUCUGGGGGUAAGAUGUACGCAGUCCAUACCUCUACCUCUAAAGAAGUAGAAAGGCUGUUUCCGAUAGACCCCCGGCUCACACUGAUAUACAACAAAUAUAUAGAAAAUGCAGCAAAACAAAACUGUGAUAUACAACUGAUAUACCAUGAGUUAAAAUGGACUCGAGGUCCAUAAAUUUGCAGCCCAACAGAAUCCAAAAAUGGGCCUGAAAGUACACUUUCUCAACCCUUCUUUAUUUUUGUAAUUUAUCUUGACUGUUUGUAUUAAAUAAUUAAUCUAGAUAAAUCCCCUAAAA
Capsicum annuum is the source of this 981-nucleotide long non-coding RNA. RefSeq lists it as uncharacterized. NCBI's taxonomy places the organism in Eukaryota, Viridiplantae, Streptophyta, Magnoliopsida, Solanales, Solanaceae. The record is from RefSeq and is a predicted model, not a curated record. The transcript is spliced from 2 exons.